UUAUCUGGAGCAAUAUUUGGCUUUAUUUUCGUUAACCAAACACAACGCAGGCAUUCGCAUUACCGCUACCAACGCUUCGAGAUGAGCAAAAACCACCUCUGACGCCCCCAAUCCAAACCACCUCUGACAUCUUCAUCUUCAUCUUCAUCUUCAUCUUCGGUAAGCUCUAUCAGCUGAGUACUUAUCAUUCCCAAUUUCGUUUCACUUUCUUUAACUUUCUUUCCCCUUUUUCUCGGGAAAAUCUGCUGAAGCAAUCUCCCGAUGGCGACGCAAUCCGCGGCUCCUCCCAAUCCCACCGAUGAUAAACCCCAAAACCCAGGUGACUUCUUCUUCCUAUUUUGUUUGAUUCACU
This 352-nucleotide long non-coding RNA is filed under the name Actinidia chinensis (golden kiwifruit). RNAcentral describes it as "long non-coding RNA (ACHI_LNC003155)". The record is from RNAcentral. Lineage: Eukaryota; Viridiplantae; Streptophyta; Magnoliopsida; Ericales; Actinidiaceae.